Mastomys coucha (southern multimammate mouse) is the source of this 513-nucleotide long non-coding RNA. RefSeq lists it as uncharacterized. NCBI's taxonomy places the organism in Eukaryota, Metazoa, Chordata, Mammalia, Rodentia, Muridae. The transcript has 2 exons. The record is from RefSeq and is a predicted model, not a curated record.
CUCCCCUUGGGGGCGCGAGAGGAGCGGCGGGCUGGCGGGGGGGAAGCUGGACAGAGGCGCCUCGGGAUACGUGCGACCCCCGCCGUGAGCUGACUUCCAAGUCGCCCAGAAGCUAGAACCAACAAAGACGCACACCCAAGAAUGAGUCCAUGAGGGAGUUAUCGGGAGAAGAAACUUUCUUCAGAGUGGGCUCUCCCUUACGGUUCUGCCUCAGGCAUACAGACAAGACUCCAAACAACCGGCUGCCUGCCUGCCUGAUUGCGCGGCUGCUAUGGCUCUUCUUAUCCUUCACCGACAUCAGAACCUAGGCCCAUCUUCCAAAAUGGACUGAAGACCAGCGACUGGCAGGGAAUCCUCCAAGCCUUUAGCACCAGAUCAUGAAUACAGAGGCAUCCAGUUUCGUUGACGGAGCAGCCAUUGGCCCUUGGUCUCCCUGGCAGAUAGUCGAUAUAUUUGGCUGCCCAAGUAAUUGUAUCGUAUAUUUGAUGCUAGUAAAUCUCUUUUCAAUUUACA